GAUGAAUGCUGGCGGCGCGCCUAACACAUGCAAGUCGAGCGGUAACAGGAGUAAUUUAUUACUUGCUGACGAGCGGCGGACGGCUGAGUAACGCGUGGGAACAUGCCCCAAAGUGAGGAAUAACUGCCCGAAAGGGUAGCUAAUGCCGCAUAUGAUCUUAGGAUUAAAGGAUUUAUCCGCUUUGGGAGUGGCCCGCGUACGAUUAGGUAGUUGGUGAGGUAAUGGCUCACCAAGCCUACGAUCGUUAACUGGUCUGAGAGGAUGAUCAGUCAGACUGGAACUGAGACACGGUCCAGACUCCUACGGGAGCAGCAGUGAGGAAUCUUCCACAAUGGGCAAAGCCUGAUGGAGCGACGCCGCGUGCAGGAUGAAGGCCCU
RNAcentral lists this ribosomal RNA (378 nucleotides) under uncultured bacterium. RNAcentral's name for it is "bacterial SSU rRNA". It matches the Rfam family "Bacterial small subunit ribosomal RNA", at positions 28 to 418 of the family's 1533-position model. The record is from RNAcentral.